CUCCAUUAACUGCUCUGAUAAUGUAAAAGCAGUAAACACAAAUGAAAAGGUCAGAUCUGACAGCUUACACUCUUGUUUCAGACUCUACCGAUGUAUAGAAGAAGUGUUCAGAUGGCUUAAGAGCUUCAGUAUUCAGUGUAUGUCCUCAAUUCUUCCUCAUUUACUGGUUUUGACGUUAAGAUAUUUGCAUGUUAAGCAAAAGCCCAACUUUAAUUAUGUACAUGUGUGUGUGAAUGGCUUUAGAGACUUGCUGACCAUUCCUCUGCGGAGCAGUGCUGAGCUAAUUAAUCACAUUAAUUGGACUCUGUUGAUCAAUAGUCAGUGGGCUGUAGGCAUUAGUUAGUUAAUAUGUUCUCAUUUCAUGGAGUUACUACAAGUGUGUGUGUGUGUGUGUGUGUGUGUGUGUGUGUGUGUGUGUGUGUGUGUGUGUGUGUGUGUGUGUGUGUGUGUGUGUGUGUUUAGGAGCGUGUUCUUAAAUGUGAGGUAAAAGUGUUUGACAUUCGAGGAGAUUAGGAGGACUAAGAUUGUUAUUUAAUCUCUGUGAGUCUCUCUGAAGCUGUCAGUUCAGUAUUCUUCUCCUGAGAGAUAAAAACAUACACAUUUUCUAAAACAUUAAAAACAUCUUAUCAGCACACAUGGUUCAAGG
This is a non-coding RNA of Xyrichtys novacula (pearly razorfish), 646 nucleotides long. The record is from the annotation of a GenBank genome assembly. Lineage: Eukaryota; Metazoa; Chordata; Actinopteri; Labriformes; Labridae.